GUAAACUGAAACUUUGGGCAAGGUCACUAGCCCUGAGAAAAGAGUUUGUUGUGGGUUAUAGAGUUCUUGAACAAUGAAACUGGCUUACCCAGAAUUUACAAGUGUGUGGACAAUGUAGAAGUGACUUUUCAUGAUUGACCUUUACAGCAGGAUGAGUCUAAGCUCAAGGAGAAGAAGGAAAACAAGUGAAGAAUGUUAAAAAUCUCUUAUGUGUGUCAAAUUUCUAUAUUAGAACAAGUGAUCAGUAGAAGAUAUGAGCACAAUGCAAGUUUUAGCAGGAACAUCUAAGGAGUCUCUACAAGUAACUUGGAACAGAGAAGCAAAUCUACUGAAGAGGUUCCCCUGAAAAUAAGACAUUUUUGCAGAGUGCCCCAGAGACCAGACAACUACAUGGGACAUCUGAGGUCCAAGAUGAAAUGUGUUGAUUAAAUAGGUAUUGGGAGUGGGUUGAUGGUCAUUAUUGUACUACCAAGUACUCUCAGUUAUCUUGGUGUCAUGUAAAAUUCCCCUCUAAAAUUAGUCCACAGCUCUGGGCAAUCUUACUAUGGCUUGUACUGUGAGUGGUCAAUCUUGUUGUCUUUACAUUAACUUGUCAGGAAAAAUUGUGACAAGUCUCCCGUUAAAAAAAAAGGAGAAAUUGAGAAAAUCAAAUGAUUCUGAUUCCAUUUUGUAACUGAUUCUAUUCUAGAUCACACCCCAAUAUGCUGUCAAAUUGCUCAAGCCAUAUUUCUUUGUCUCUACACAUAGUCUGGAAAUUCAGCUCUUCUGUACUAAGUUGAGAAAUUCAGUUCUCCCACUAAUUACCAAAUGCCAUUGAUUCUUCCUUUACUUCCCUAGGGUUGGAAUGGAAGAAAAUUUUAACAAUUGUGGUCAUUUUCUCACUGGUCAUGUUGUUCCCCUACCUGUGCUUGGAUAGGCUCCACCACUUCCUCCAUGUUAAAGAAACCACUUGUGCACCUCUUAGAGAACUUUGCGGAAGAUACUAUCAGAAAGAUUGUAUGAGAUGAUCACCAGGCAUGGAGCACACACAGUAGGCCAGAGCCUAAGAAUGUGACCUCGAGUCUCACAAUUAAUGUAAACUACCUUGAAUAAAUGUAAACAGCAAAAGAAAUUCUACCUAUCCCAUGGGAAAACUUGCACAUGAUUCUGGGCCAUUCCUUCUUUGUUCUGGCCCAAGAUUGGUGUGGGAAUGCUCAAUGUUAUCUGCCCAGGCCUCCUGUGAAUAAACUCUCUUAACCAACCGAAUUAGCCUAAUUAACCCUAAUAAAAC
Non-coding RNA from Phascolarctos cinereus (koala), 1270 nucleotides. The record is from RefSeq and is a predicted model, not a curated record. NCBI's taxonomy places the organism in Eukaryota, Metazoa, Chordata, Mammalia, Diprotodontia, Phascolarctidae.